RNAcentral lists this ribosomal RNA (345 nucleotides) under Klebsiella quasipneumoniae subsp. similipneumoniae. RNAcentral describes it as "bacterial SSU rRNA". It matches the Rfam family "Bacterial small subunit ribosomal RNA", at positions 262 to 599 of the family's 1533-position model. The record is from RNAcentral. Lineage: Bacteria; Pseudomonadati; Pseudomonadota; Gammaproteobacteria; Enterobacterales; Enterobacteriaceae.
GGCUCACCUAGGCGACGAUCCCUAGCUGGUCUGAGAGGAUGACCAGCCACACUGGAACUGAGACACGGUCCAGACUCCUACGGGAGGCAGCAGUGGGGAAUAUUGCACAAUGGGCGCAAGCCUGAUGCAGCCAUGCCGCGUGUGUGAAGAAGGCCUUCGGGUUGUAAAGCACUUUCAGCGGGGAGGAAGGCGUUAAGGUUAAUAACCUUGGCGAUUGACGUUACCCGCAGAAGAAGCACCGGCUAACUCCGUGCCAGCAGCCGCGGUAAUACGGAGGGUGCAAGCGUUAAUCGGAAUUACUGGGCGUAAAGCGCACGCAGGCGGUCUGUCAAGUCGGAUGUGAAA